Molecule: long non-coding RNA, 1016 nt
Organism: Dermacentor albipictus
Lineage: Eukaryota; Metazoa; Arthropoda; Arachnida; Ixodida; Ixodidae
Source: RefSeq, a predicted model, not a curated record
CAGUCGUCCAGCCGGCGCGUCGAGUACCAUUGGCCUUGAAAGAGCAGCUUCGACACGAGCUGGAGCGUAUGGAGCGGGAAGGCAUAAUCACGAAGGUGACUGAGCCUACUGAAUGGGAAAACAGCUCGUGCUCGCGGGCAUGCUGUCUCGAGCACCCAGCAAUUUGGACACAGAUGCGGUUGGCACCACUGACGUAGAAGUGAACGCCGACUUCUCCCUCAGAGUGUGGCCGGUCGCCAGCGGAGACCCUCCAAGGCUGCCAACUGCAAACACUGCUGCCUGCCUUCGAAUGUGGACCAGCCCACCAAGUUGUUAAGCACCGUCAGCUUCAAACUUCCGCACAGCCACUAGCACCACUCCACAAAGGCGAUGUCGUGCGAGUCCAGACCGGCACGUGGGCCACGAAAGCACCAGGUUCUGAAACCGUCGAUGCACCCCAGGUCGUACCAUGUCAUCACGCCGGAGGAGCAGCACUUUCGGCGCAGUUGCAAAUGCCUACUACCGACCGGGGAGACCUUUCAGCGUGACUUCAUUCCCAACGGUAGCGGCAUAGAACCCGAGUGCUCAACAUCUGCUCAUCGCACCGAGGACGCAGCACCGAGUAAUGGUGUUACGACAGCCGCGGACAUGUUCCACAGUGUGCUGCCAAUGCCAGCCAGUGUUCCGGGAACUGCAGACACACCGAGGAGGUCCCUGAGGCAAGCAAGAUCACCCCGACGACUACAGUAUGAUCGGAACUUUGAAUAGAUUUCCUAAACACGCUGUGUCAAUAUUUAUAUGCUUUACUUUCGUUACAAAUGUGUAACCUCGGAAUCAUCGUUAUACCACAUCUGUAAAUACUUGCGCUGUUUAUUUUAUUUUCUUUCUCGUAACGAAAAGGAUGUAUCAUAUAGCGUCUGACACAUGUGCUAUGCAUGAUAAGCUGAGGGGGCGUAGUCCCACUUCUCUGUAUAUCAUCACAUGACCAUUUGAGGGGCGUUGCCCCAUUUUACUGUAUAAUAUAACUGCUCAAUAAA